UUCAAGACUAUUAGUUUACACCAGUUAGAAAAAGAAAAUUUCUCAACUGAAAUCAGAUAAUCUCGGAGAGGACAUCGUAGCCGGUCCGUCACGGCCCAAAGUCAGGCGGAUAGACAGGAUAUACUCUCAGCACCGCAAAAACUCAGCCGUUCUGUCAGUGAAUCAAUAUGCAUUUGUGACUCUGUACCUUUUGUAGAAAAUUUACCCAGAUCCACCCCUCUACCAUUCGAAAGGCAUUUGCAUGAUGGUAGAAGCAAUGCUAUGUUUGGAAGUAAUGGAAAGGAAAUGUCAAGAAGAUCUAAAGUUUCAUCUAAAGGUACUGAUUAGUAGGAGAUGGGAUGUGUUAACAUCAGACAUUGAAGAGAGUAUGCGAAACAAAAGUUUCGUUGAACUCUACUCGUCAGUUUUUUUAAAACAUUGGAAUGCCUCCGACACCUUCUACAGUAACAGGAACAGGAGCCUGUUGAUUCUGCUGACUACAACGGAAGACUUACCGAUGGUCUGGCGGGCACAGUUGUGUGGAAAUGUGGUGUGUUCUACACUCAAGAUCCAAUCUACCAUGGACUUGUACUUAUCAGGUAUGCUCUGUUAUACUUUCUUAUUAUUGUUAAGGUUUUAAAAACAUAACCGUUUACCGUACGGAGGUAUCGUGUUCGUGUCUCUUUGUCUUCCGUCUAUCAUAUUUCUUUAUAUUUUACAUUGAAACUAAAACCGCGUUUUAUUAUGUCAUAAUACAUUGAAAGGACUAAAUUUGACAUUCUGUGUAUCAUAUUGAUCUAAAGAGACACAAUUUUACAAUAUAUUUAUAUGUA
This 812-nucleotide long non-coding RNA is filed under the name Mizuhopecten yessoensis (Yesso scallop). RNAcentral's name for it is "uncharacterized LOC110460055, transcript variant X2". Lineage: Eukaryota; Metazoa; Mollusca; Bivalvia; Pectinida; Pectinidae. The record is from RNAcentral.